This 253-nucleotide ribosomal RNA is filed under the name uncultured bacterium. Its description in RNAcentral is "partial 16S ribosomal RNA". It matches the Rfam family "Bacterial small subunit ribosomal RNA", at positions 524 to 776 of the family's 1533-position model. The record is from RNAcentral.
UACGGGGGGGGCAAGCGUUGUUCGGAAUUAUUGGGCGUAAAGAGCUCGUAGGCGGUUUGUCACGUCGGAUGUGAAACCCCGGGGCUUAACUCCGGGCCUGCAUUCGAUACGGGCUGACUAGAGUUCGGCAGGGGAGACUGGAAUUCCUGGUGUAGCGGUGAAAUGCGCAGAUAUCAGGAGGAACACCGGUGGCGAAGGCGGGUCUCUGGGCCGAUACUGACGCUGAGGAGCGAAAGCGUGGGGAGCGAACAGG